GCCUGGAUAGCUCAGUUGGUUAGAGCGUGGUGCUGAUAAUGCCAUGGCUACAGGUUCAGUCCCCGUAUAGGACA
Podarcis lilfordi (Lilford's wall lizard) is the source of this 74-nucleotide non-coding RNA. The record is from the annotation of a GenBank genome assembly. NCBI's taxonomy places the organism in Eukaryota, Metazoa, Chordata, Lepidosauria, Squamata, Lacertidae.